AUUAGGGUAGCUAGCCCGGAAAACGCAAAGGACUUAAAAUCUAAUCACGAAGGUUCAAAUCCUUCCCCUAACC
Molecule: transfer RNA, 73 nt
Filed under: Varanus scalaris
Lineage: Eukaryota; Metazoa; Chordata; Lepidosauria; Squamata; Varanidae
Description: tRNA-Leu
Rfam family: tRNA
About the family: Transfer RNA (tRNA) molecules are approximately 80 nucleotides in length.
Source: RNAcentral